CAGAAAUUAUCUCUCGCUGGGCUGACCGUAUGGAUAAAGUUGAAGUUACUUUUAGUGAAAAUUCUUAUACACCAUGAGAUCAAACUUAUGAACCUACAUCAGUGUCUUAUUGUCAAGAAUGGGACAAGCUUAGUGUUGCUUCAUCUAACGGGAAGGAGCUAAUCCUAGCACGAUUCAAGUUGCUGAAGACGUUGAUUUGACUCUAACGACUAACACAGAGACACUGGAACAAGAUGACAAGUCACUAAAGAAGCUAGGGCCUCAACACAAGAUGGCCUCAUAUUGUUAUAGUAAAGGAACCACUGGAGCAUUUUUUAUAUUAACAACAGCUACAUUUCUUAUCUUUCUUACGAGGGAUUUGUAACGAGCUUGGAGUCUUGAGAGAACUAUACAGUAUUUCUCUAUCAAUGGAAUUUUGAGUAGAAGAGCUACAUUUAAAAACUUGGCAGACUACGAUUGACUGACUUCGAGACAGUGAUGUUUUAGAAAUUGUUUAAGAGAAGAUGCUCAUUGAAGUUGUUUCCAUUAGUUAUGAGGAGCCACGCCCACUUGUAAAAAAAUGAGAGAGAUGAUGUUAGCAGGUGUUGUGUUGAAGCUAAAAUAAAAAUUAAGUCUUCUGUUGAUAGUGUCAGUCCCUAUAUUGAUUCGCUCUUUUAGUCAAAUUUUACAUUUCAAUCAGACCUUUCAACCUUUACCUGAAGCAGAUGUGUAUCAUCUGUCAG
Molecule: long non-coding RNA, 722 nt
Organism: Amphimedon queenslandica
Lineage: Eukaryota; Metazoa; Porifera; Demospongiae; Haplosclerida; Niphatidae
Exons: 6
Source: RefSeq, a predicted model, not a curated record